RNAcentral lists this transfer RNA (115 nucleotides) under Culex quinquefasciatus (southern house mosquito). It matches the Rfam family "tRNA". From Rfam's summary of the family: Transfer RNA (tRNA) molecules are approximately 80 nucleotides in length. Their secondary structure includes four short double-helical elements and three loops (D, anti-codon, and T loops). Lineage: Eukaryota; Metazoa; Arthropoda; Insecta; Diptera; Culicidae. The record is from Rfam by way of RNAcentral.
CCUUCGAUAGCUCAGUUGGUAGAGCGGUGGACUGUAGAGAGAUACGACUCCUGCCUAGCAAGAGUAGUAAGCAAUAGUAAUCCAUAGGUCACUGGUUCAAAUCCGGUUCGAAGGA